AGACCGUGAUGGGGACACUUUCUCAGUAGCUCCUUGAACCUUUCCCAAGUUUCAUAUAAGGAUUCCCCAUCCUCUUGUGAAUAUGUAUGGUCAUUAAUUUAGUCGUUU
RNAcentral lists this small nucleolar RNA (108 nucleotides) under Helianthus annuus (common sunflower). RNAcentral describes it as "Plant small nucleolar RNA R71". It matches the Rfam family "Plant small nucleolar RNA R71". Rfam says of the family: R71 is a member of the C/D box family of snoRNAs containing the C (UGAUGA) and D (CUGA) box motifs. Multiple nearly identical copies of this snoRNA have been identified in Arabidopsis, and it is thought to function as a 2'-O-ribose methylation guide for 18S ribosomal RNA. Lineage: Eukaryota; Viridiplantae; Streptophyta; Magnoliopsida; Asterales; Asteraceae. The record is from RNAcentral.